UCAAAGUUUUUUUUUAAAAACACAAAACAUAUAAUGAAAAUUUUG
This is a non-coding RNA of Amborella trichopoda, 45 nucleotides long. The record is from Rfam. NCBI's taxonomy places the organism in Eukaryota, Viridiplantae, Streptophyta, Magnoliopsida, Amborellales, Amborellaceae.